This 513-nucleotide ribosomal RNA is filed under the name Melba thoracica. RNAcentral describes it as "partial 16S ribosomal RNA". The stretch from base 382 to 513 matches the Rfam family "Archaeal large subunit ribosomal RNA", at positions 2542 to 2674 of the family's 2987-position model. The record is from RNAcentral. Lineage: Eukaryota; Metazoa; Arthropoda; Insecta; Coleoptera; Staphylinidae.
GUCUUUUUGAAUAUAAUUUAAAGUUUAAUCUGCCCACUGAUAUUUUAAAUGGCUGCAGUAUUUUAACUGUACAAAGGUAGCAUAAUAAUUAGUUUCUUAAUUAGGAGCUGGAAUGAAUGAUUGGACAAGAAAAAGACUUUUUUAAUUUAAUAUAAUUAGAAUUUUAUUUUUUAGUAAAAAAGCUAAAAUAAAUUUAUUAGACGAGAAGACCCUAUAGAGUUUUAUUUAAAUUUAAUUAAUUAAUUUUAGUAUAAUUAUAAAUUAAUUUUUAUUUAAAUUUUAUUGGGGUGAUAUAAAAAUUAUUGAACUUUUUAAUAUUAUUACAUAAAUGAAUGAAUUUAAGAUCUUAUUUUUUAGAUUUAUAGAUAAAAUUACCUUAGGGAUAACAGCGUAAUUUUUUUAGAGAGUUCAUAUUGAAAAAAAAGAUUGCGACCUCGAUGUUGGAUUAAGGUUAAAUUUUAAUGAAGUAGUUAAAAUAUUUAGUCUGUUCGACUAUUUAAAUCUUACAUGAUC